Cynara cardunculus var. scolymus (artichoke) is the source of this 160-nucleotide small nucleolar RNA. RefSeq annotates it as small nucleolar RNA snoR134. Lineage: Eukaryota; Viridiplantae; Streptophyta; Magnoliopsida; Asterales; Asteraceae. The transcript has a single exon. The record is from RefSeq and is a predicted model, not a curated record.
CUGCACGUAGCACCUCGGGUUUCUCUGAAAUAACGAAUUGGAUGAAGAAGAAAGCCCCAAUGCUCGUGCUAAAUCAGAUCUAUUGCUGUUAAGUGUUGCAGUUCAGCCUUUUUGUACCUUUUUUUAUUGUCAUUUAUGUGUCAAAUCGACGGCUACAUAU